CUACGGGCUGCUCCAGUGAGGAAUAUUGCACAAUGGGGGGAACCCCGAUGCAGCAACGCCGCGUGGAGGAUGACGCAUUUCGGUGUGUAAACUCUUUCUAUAUGUCAAGAAAAUGACGGUAGCAUAUGAAUAAGCACCGGCUAACUCCGUGCCAGCAGCCGCGGUAAUACGGAGGGUGCAAGCGUUACUCGGAAUCACUGGGCGUAAAGGACGCGUAGGCGGGUUGGAAAGUCAGGUGUGAAAUCCUACAGCUUAACUGUAGAACUGCACUUGAAACUUCUAAUCUAGAGUAUGGGAGGGGGAGAUGGAAUUAGUGGUGUAGGGGUAAAAUCCGUAGAUAUCACUAGGAAUACCUAAAGCGAAGGCGAUCUCCUGGAACAUUACUGACGCUAAGGCGUGAAAGCGUGGGGAGCAAACAGGAUUAGAUACCCGCGUAGUC
Molecule: ribosomal RNA, 439 nt
Filed under: uncultured bacterium
Lineage: Bacteria
Description: partial 16S ribosomal RNA
Rfam family: Bacterial small subunit ribosomal RNA
Source: RNAcentral